Molecule: long non-coding RNA, 428 nt
Organism: Balaenoptera ricei (Rice's whale)
Lineage: Eukaryota; Metazoa; Chordata; Mammalia; Artiodactyla; Balaenopteridae
Exons: 3
Source: RefSeq, a predicted model, not a curated record
AUUUCAACUGGAGACAGGGAUGGAUGGGAAAACUUACACUCUGAAGACAUCAGGCCUCACCAGCAAUCUUGGGCUUCUCAUUUAAAUUCCCUGAGUUUUUACUGGAGAAGUUUGCAAAGACCAGGAUGAAGGCUAUAUUGGACUGCCCAGGGAACCACACUCUUCAGGGACUGUGGACAUUAGGAAGACAUGUGCAGUUGACAUUGAAAGGCUAAGCCAAGGGCCUCCCUAUUCCCUGAAGCACAACAGUAUUGAAAUUGGGCCAAUUAAUAACCCCACAAUGGCCUCCAAGUGUUCAGGUCAUGGAAGCAACCUAAAUGCCCAUCGACAGACAAAUGGUUAAAGAAGAUGUGGUACAUAUAUACAAUGGAAUAUUACUCAGCCAUAAAAAGGAAUGAUAUUGGGUCAUUUGUUGAGACGUGGAUGGA